GACGAACGCUGGCGGCGUGCUUAACACAUGCAAGUCGAACGGAAAGGCCCUGCUUUUGUGGGGUGCUCGAGUGGCGAACGGGUGAGUAACACGUGAGUAACCUGCCCUUGACUUUGGGAUAACUUCAGGAAACUGGGGCUAAUACCGGCUAGGAGCUCCUGCUGCAUGGUGGGGGUUGGAAAGUUUCGGCGGUUGGGGAUGGACUCGCGGCUUAUCAGCUUGUUGGUGGGGUAGUGGCUUACCAAGGCUUUGACGGGUAGCCGGCCUGAGAGGGUGACCGGCGACAUUGGGACUGAGAUACGGCCCAGACUCCUACGGGAGGCAGCAGUGGGGAAUAUUGCACAAUGGGCGGAAGCCUGAUGCAGCAACGCCGCGUGCGGGAUGACGGCCUUCGGGUUGUAAACCGCUUUCGCCUGUGACGAAGCGUGAGUGACGGUAAUGGGUAAAGAAGCACCGGCUAACUACGUG
This 468-nucleotide ribosomal RNA is filed under the name uncultured bacterium. RNAcentral's name for it is "partial 16S ribosomal RNA". It matches the Rfam family "Bacterial small subunit ribosomal RNA", at positions 28 to 507 of the family's 1533-position model. The record is from RNAcentral.